UACGUAGGGGGCAAGCGUUGUCCGGAUUUAUUGGGCGUAAAGAGCGUGUAGGCGGCCAGAUAGGUCCGUUGUGAAAACUGGAGGCUCAACCUUCAGACGUCGACCCAAACCCCCUGGCUAGAGUCCGGAAGAGGAGAGUGGAAUUCCUGGUGUAGCGGUGAAAUGCGCAGAUAUCAGGAAGAACACCCGUGGCGAAGGCGGCUCUCUGGGACGGUACUGACGCUGAGACGCGAAAGCGUGGGGAGCGAACAGG
Molecule: ribosomal RNA, 253 nt
Filed under: uncultured bacterium
Lineage: Bacteria
Description: partial 16S ribosomal RNA
Rfam family: Bacterial small subunit ribosomal RNA
Source: RNAcentral